UACGAAGGGGGCGAGCGUUGUUCGGAAUUACUGGGCGUAAAGGGCGCGGUAGGCGGCCGAUCAAGUCAGAUGUGAAAGUCCUGGGCUUAACCUGGGGGACUGCAUUUGAUACUGAUUGGCUUGAAUGCAGGAGAGGAUAGCGGAAUUCCCAGUGUAGAGGUGAAAUUCGUAGAUAUUGGGGAAGAACACCGGUGGCGAAGGCGGCUAUCUGGACUGUGAUUGACGCUGAGGGCGCGAAAAGCGUGGGGGAGCAAACAGG
RNAcentral lists this ribosomal RNA (259 nucleotides) under uncultured bacterium. Its description in RNAcentral is "partial 16S ribosomal RNA". It matches the Rfam family "Bacterial small subunit ribosomal RNA", at positions 524 to 776 of the family's 1533-position model. The record is from RNAcentral.